AAGUCGUAACAAGGUUUCCGUAGGUGAACCUGCGGAAGGAUCAUUAACGAGUUAGGGUCUUCUAGGCCCGACCUCCCAACCCUAUGUUUAUUGUACCAUUGUUGCUUCGGUGGGUCCGUCUAACGACCGCCGGGGGACCGCCGCGAGGCCCCCCUGGCCAGCACCCGCCGAUAGCCAAAUUUAAACCCUUAUGAAUCGUGUCUUAUGUCUAAAUCAUGAUUAAAAAUCAAAACAAAACUUUCAACAACGGAUCUCUUGGUUCUGGCAUCGAUGAAGAACGCAGCGAAAUGCGAUAAGUAAUGCGAAUUGCAGAAUUCCAGUGAGUCAUCGAAUCUUUGAACGCACAUUGCGCCCUUUGGUAUUCCGAAGGGCAUGCCUGUUCGAGCGUCAUUAUCACCCCUCAAGCCCCGUGCUUGGUGUUGGACGGCCGGUCGAGGCCCCCUCGACCCCUCCUAAAGAUAAAGACGGCGACCUGUGGUUCCCCCGGUACACUGAGCUUCUCACCGAGCACGUAUUGGACAAGGGCGCCCAGGACCCGGUCUUCUCCUCUCACGAGGAAAUUUUUCUCAAGGUUGACCUCGGAUCAGGUAGGAAUACGCGCUGAACUUA
Molecule: ribosomal RNA, 609 nt
Filed under: uncultured fungus
Lineage: Eukaryota; Fungi
Description: eukaryotic LSU rRNA
Rfam family: 5.8S ribosomal RNA (bases 236-390)
Source: RNAcentral